GAGGCGAUAUCGGAUACUGGGCGUAAGCGUGUGUAGGCGGUUCGGAAGAAGAUGUGAAAUCCCAGGGCUCAACCUUGGAACUGCAUUUUUAACUGCCGAGCUAGAGUAUGUCAGAGGGGGGUAGAAUUCCACGUGUAGCAGUGAAAUGCGUAGAUAUGUGGAGGAAUACCGAUGGCGAAGGCAGCCCCCUGGGAUAAUACUGACGCUCAGACACGAAAGCGUGGGGAGCAAACAGGAUUAGAUACCCUGGUAGUCCACGCCCUAAACGAUGUCAACUAGCUGUUGGGGCCGUUAGGCCUUAGUAGCGCAGCUAACGCGUGAAGUUGACCGCCUGGGGAGUACGGUCGCAAGAUUAAAACUCAAAGGGAAUUGACGG
Molecule: ribosomal RNA, 376 nt
Filed under: Alcaligenes faecalis
Lineage: Bacteria; Pseudomonadati; Pseudomonadota; Betaproteobacteria; Burkholderiales; Alcaligenaceae
Description: bacterial SSU rRNA
Rfam family: Bacterial small subunit ribosomal RNA
Source: RNAcentral